This 74-nucleotide transfer RNA is filed under the name Bos taurus (domestic cattle). It matches the Rfam family "tRNA". From Rfam's summary of the family: Transfer RNA (tRNA) molecules are approximately 80 nucleotides in length. Their secondary structure includes four short double-helical elements and three loops (D, anti-codon, and T loops). RNAcentral also lists the same sequence under 4 other names. The record is from Rfam by way of RNAcentral. Lineage: Eukaryota; Metazoa; Chordata; Mammalia; Artiodactyla; Bovidae.
UCCCUGGUGGUCCAGUGGUUAGGACUCUGUGCUUUCACUGAGGAGGGGUCCAGGUUCGAUCCCUGGUCAGGGAA